This 485-nucleotide ribosomal RNA is filed under the name uncultured bacterium. RNAcentral describes it as "bacterial SSU rRNA". It matches the Rfam family "Bacterial small subunit ribosomal RNA", at positions 30 to 507 of the family's 1533-position model. The record is from RNAcentral.
AUUGAACGCUGGCGGCAUGCCUUACACAUGCAAGUCGAACGGUAACAGGGAGCUUGCUCUGCUGACGAGUGGCGAACGGGUGAGUAAUGUAUCGGAACGUACCAUUCAGUGGGGGAUAACGUAGCGAAAGUUACGCUAAUACCGCAUAUUCUGUGAGCAGGAAAGCAGGGGAUCGCAAGACCUUGCGCUGAUUGAGCGGCCGAUAUCAGAUUAGCUAGUUGGUGAGGUAAAGGCUCACCAAGGCGACGAUCUGUAGCGGGUCUGAGAGGAUGAUCCGCCACACUGGAACUGAGACACGGUCCAGACUCCUACGGGAGGCAGCAGUGGGGAAUUUUGGACAAUGGGGGCAACCCUGAUCCAGCCAUGCCGCGUGAGUGAAGAAGGCCUUCGGGUUGUAAAGCUCUUUCGGACCGGGAAAAAAUCGCACAGGUUAAUACCCUGUGUGGAUGAUGGUACCGGAAUAAGAAGCACCGGCUAACUACGUG